RNAcentral lists this long non-coding RNA (1180 nucleotides) under Helianthus annuus (common sunflower). RNAcentral describes it as "hypothetical non coding rna". The record is from RNAcentral. Lineage: Eukaryota; Viridiplantae; Streptophyta; Magnoliopsida; Asterales; Asteraceae.
GGGUUUCUUUCAUUCUCUUUCUGCCACUUCUUCUAUGGCGAUCAACUUUCAGACUUUUCAUCAAGGGUUUCCAUUCAAGCAAUUCAUUCGUCUGUACCUCAAAGAUUAAAAAAGGAAUGAAAUCAAGGGAGAUGAAGACGUGUGUCAGAGUUUUCAUCCUUCAAUCCGGCGAUUAGGGUUUUCAUCCUUCUUUUACAAUCAAACAAUCCAAGAAUAAUCUGGAAGAUGUUGGAAUUUGGGACGAUAGCGUUCAGAUCUAACGUAAUAUUAUUCGUAUUUGAAGACUUUAGCGAUUAACAUGUCAAAGAUGGCAUAUACCUUGCUUUCAUCGAUCCUAAUUGGAUUCCGUGAUUUUAUUGGAUUGCAUAUGCUCUGCAGUGUUCACCAUCGCUAGAACUAUCUACAAUUUGCUUUUAAUCUUUACAAGCCGGGAUUUCUUGCUAUUUAUGUUCCCUUUCUUCACCUUCAUUGCUUUGCCUCUCGGAGAAUGUUCUCUGCUGCUGAAGGCGUCUUUAUCUAUACUUUUAACGUACUAUCAGCCUUAUCAGGUGUUUGAUAAAUAACAUUGCCUCUCUCGCCAUGGUUCUAGACAAGUAAUAUCCCCUCCCUCCCCUUCUCACACACGCAGGCGUUUGUGUUUACUUCCCAGGCGUUUACUUUGAUUGUCGGUAACCGGAGGUCUGGUAUCUUUUACAUCGUUACUUGGUUGGCAUUUAUAUUAAGUAAAUAUACAUCAGAUUACUUUUUAGUUUUCCAAAAGGGGUAGCCCAAUUGUCACAAAAUCAUUAGCGUUGCAGACCGUCAUGCUGCUAUGAGAAAUUGGUAUCGUCAAAGUUUAAGGUUUCAAUGGCUAUUGCUUUGAUUUCAAAGUGAGCAACAAUUGCUUCGUUUGAGGAUCAGAAAAGGCACAUCCUUGAGUUCAUGGGAUGCAAGUGAUAAAUCAUUGCUCAUGUUUGCCAUGAGUUGCAUUGCUGCAAUAACACUACUUUAUUAUUGACAUAGUGUUCAGUAGAUUAAUUUAUAAGUGUAUUUUGUUACAUUUAGCUUUAACUUCAUUGUAGUCACAACUCUACCAUGGCAUUGCAUCCAAUUUUUAAGUUGAAUAUUUAAUGUAAUGUAAUGGACACAAGGAGUUGCAUGAGAUUGAAUGUUUAAGAUUUAAUGGAGUAUUUUAUUCUUU